CCGGGCGGUACUUGAGGAAGCAGCAGGAAGAGACCCAGUUUAUCUACAAGGCCCUUGAAGCCCUGUGGAGAGAUGACAGUCCUUCCCAGACAAACAUAGUAGUUCAAGAUACAUUCAGUGAAAGAGCUGCAGAAGUGGCUCAGAAGAACCAGUGUCUGCAUCAGGCCUCCAAAUGCCAUGGAAGAUGAGACUACCUUGAGACCAGAAGAGACCAGCUGGAGCUCCAGGCACAGCUGAUGAUUGGCACAGCUGACCCUGUGGGAAACCUGCAGGGCUUCAGCCCUCUCCCUGCUUAUAGAUAGCUCCUUCCCUCCAGCCCUCAGACACUGCCCAUCCCCUUUUUUCCCCUCCACUCUCCCUCCCUGAUGACAGCUCUUUCCCUCUAGCCCUCAGAUCCUGCCGAUCCCAUUUUUCCCUCCUACCCCAUCCCUUUGGUUUGUCUUCUAUUAAUAAAUUGUUUGGCUUUUUCA
Long non-coding RNA from Vidua macroura (Pin-tailed whydah), 470 nucleotides. RefSeq lists it as uncharacterized. NCBI's taxonomy places the organism in Eukaryota, Metazoa, Chordata, Aves, Passeriformes, Viduidae. The record is from RefSeq and is a predicted model, not a curated record. The transcript is spliced from 2 exons.